This 24-nucleotide non-coding RNA is filed under the name Gossypium hirsutum (cotton). Lineage: Eukaryota; Viridiplantae; Streptophyta; Magnoliopsida; Malvales; Malvaceae. The record is from RNAcentral.
UUGAAAGUGUUGCACCAUAUUAAG